This 253-nucleotide ribosomal RNA is filed under the name uncultured bacterium. RNAcentral's name for it is "partial 16S ribosomal RNA". It matches the Rfam family "Archaeal small subunit ribosomal RNA", at positions 474 to 727 of the family's 1478-position model. The record is from RNAcentral.
UACCCGCAGCUCAAGUGGUGGUCAUUAUUAUUGGGCCUAAAGCGUCCGUAGCUGGCCUGUUAGAUGCCUGGGUAAAUCGAUGCGCUCAACGUAUCGAAUUCCGGGUAGACCGGCAGGCUCGAGACCGGGAGAGGUGUAGGCUACUCGAGGGGUAGGGGUAAAAGUCCUGUAAUCCUCGGGGAGGACCAGUGGCGAAGGCGCUACACUAGAACGGCUCUGACAGUGAGGGACGAAGCCCUGGGGCGCAACCGGG